AGCCAGACUCCUACGGGAGGCAGCAGUGGGGAAUAUUGCACAAUGGGGGAAACCCUGAUGCAGCGACGCCGCGUGAGUGAAGAAGUAUUUCGGUAUGUAAAGCUCUAUCAGCAGGGAAGAAAAUGACGGUACCUGACUAAGAAGCCCCGGCUAACUACGUGCCAGCAGCCGCGGUAAUACGUAGGGGGCAAGCGUUAUCCGGAUUUACUGGGUGUAAAGGGAGCGUAGACGGCAUGGCAAGUCAGAUGUGAAAGCCCGGGGCUCAACCCCGGGACUGCAUUUGAAACUGUCAGGCUGGAGUGCAGGAGAGGUAAGUGGAAUUCCUAGUGUAGCGGUGAAAUGCGUAGAUAUUAGGAGGAACACCAGUGGCGAAGGCGGCUUACUGGACUGUAACUGACGUUGAGGCUCGAAAGCGUGGGGAGCAAACAGGAUUAGAUACCCGUGUAA
RNAcentral lists this ribosomal RNA (447 nucleotides) under uncultured bacterium. RNAcentral's name for it is "bacterial SSU rRNA". It matches the Rfam family "Bacterial small subunit ribosomal RNA", at positions 329 to 793 of the family's 1533-position model. The record is from RNAcentral.